Non-coding RNA from Felis catus (domestic cat), 85 nucleotides. NCBI's taxonomy places the organism in Eukaryota, Metazoa, Chordata, Mammalia, Carnivora, Felidae. The record is from Rfam.
GCCUGGGUGGCUCAGUCGGUUAAGCGUCUGACUUCAGCUCAGGUCAUGAUCUCACAGUUCGUGAGUUCGAGCCCCGCGUCGGGCU